Molecule: ribosomal RNA, 254 nt
Filed under: uncultured bacterium
Lineage: Bacteria
Description: partial 16S ribosomal RNA
Rfam family: Bacterial small subunit ribosomal RNA
Source: RNAcentral
CACGUAGGGACCGAGCGUUGUCCGGAUUUAUUGGGCGUAAAGAGGUCGUAGGCGGUUCAGCAAGUCGGGUGUGAAAACUCUGGGCUCAACCCAGAGACGCCACCCGAUACUGCUGUGACUAGAGUCCGGUAGGGGAGUGGGGAAUUCCAGGUGUAGCGGUGAAAUGCGUAGAUAUCAGGAGGAACACCGGUGGCGAAGGCGGCUUGCUGGGCCUUACCUGACGCUGAGGAGCGAAAGCGUGGGGAGCGAACAGG